This 895-nucleotide ribosomal RNA is filed under the name Hymenoscyphus cf. imberbis. Its description in RNAcentral is "partial large subunit ribosomal RNA". It matches the Rfam family "Eukaryotic large subunit ribosomal RNA", at positions 59 to 970 of the family's 3401-position model. The record is from RNAcentral. Lineage: Eukaryota; Fungi; Ascomycota; Leotiomycetes; Helotiales; Helotiaceae.
AAGAAACCAACAGGGAUUACCUCAGUAACGGCGAGUGAAGCGGUAACAGCUCAAAUUUGAAAUCUGGCUCUUUCAGGGUCCGAGUUGUAAUUUGUAGACGAUGCUUUGGGUGUGGUGCCGGUCUAAGUUCCUUGGAACAGGACGUCAUAGAGGGUGAGAAUCCCGUAUGUGAUCGGUCGCCUUCGCCCGUGUAAAGCUCGUUCGACGAGUCGAGUUGUUUGGGAAUGCAGCUCAAAAUGGGUGGUAAAUUUCAUCUAAAGCUAAAUAUUGGCCAGAGACCGAUAGCGCACAAGUAGAGUGAUCGAAAGAUGAAAAGCACUUUGGAAAGAGAGUUAAACAGUACGUGAAAUUGUUGAAAGGGAAGCGCUUGCAACCAGACUUGGGCUGUCGCAAUCAUCCGGGGCUCGCCCCCGGUGCACUUGUGGCGGCACAGGCCAGCAUCAGUUUCGGUGGUGGGAUAAAGGCCUUGGGAAUGUAGCUUCUUUCGGGGAGUGUUAUAGCCCUCGGUGCAAUGCCGCCUACCGGGACUGAGGACCGCGCUUCGGCUAGGAUGCUGGCGUAAUGGUUGUAAGCGACCCGUCUUGAAACACGGACCAAGGAGUCUAACAUCUAUGCGAGUGUUUGGGUGUCAAACCCAUACGCGUAAUGAAAGUGAACGGAGGUGAGAACCCGUUAGGGUGCAUCAUCGACCGAUCCUGAUGUCUUCGGAUGGAUUUGAGUAAGAGCAUAGCUGUUGGGACCCGAAAGAUGGUGAACUAUGCCUAAAUAGGGUGAAGCCAGAGGAAACUCUGGUGGAGGCUCGCAGCGGUUCUGACGUGCAAAUCGAUCGUCAAAUUUGGGUAUAGGGGCGAAAGACUAAUCGAACCAUCUAGUAGCUGGUUCCUGCCGAAGUUCC